RNAcentral lists this transfer RNA (78 nucleotides) under Caudoviricetes sp. Its description in RNAcentral is "tRNA-OTHER". Lineage: Duplodnaviria; Heunggongvirae; Uroviricota; Caudoviricetes. The record is from RNAcentral.
GGCUGUGGCCUAAAAAUAGUCUUGAAAACUAGCGAAGGUGCAAGCCUUCCGUGGGUUCGAAUCCCACCCUUUCCGCCA